RNAcentral lists this ribosomal RNA (459 nucleotides) under uncultured bacterium. RNAcentral describes it as "partial 16S ribosomal RNA". It matches the Rfam family "Bacterial small subunit ribosomal RNA", at positions 338 to 795 of the family's 1533-position model. The record is from RNAcentral.
CCUACGGGCGGCAGCAGUGAGGAAUAUUGGUCAAUGGCCGGAAGGCUGAACCAGCCAAGCCGCGUGAGGGAUGAAGGCGCACAGCGUCGCAGACCUCUUUUGCCGGGGGACAAAAGGCCGGACUCGUCCGGUCCUGAGGGUACCCGGAGAAAAAGCAUCGGCUAACUCCGUGCCAGCAGCCGCGGUAAUACGGAGGAUGCGAGCGUUAUCCGGAUUCAUUGGGUUUAAAGGGUGCGCAGGCGGGGCUUUAAGCCGGCGGUGAAAUCGCGGGGCUCAACCCCGCACGGCCGUUGGAACUGGGUGCCUUGAGUGCGGCAGAGGCAUGCGGAAUGCGAGGUGUAGCGGUGAAAUGCAUAGAUAUCGCGCAGAACCCCGAUUGCGAAGGCAGCGUGCCGUGGCGCCACUGACGCUGAGGCACGAAAGCGUGGGGAUCGAACAGGAUUAGAUACCCUAGUAGUC